CCGCCUGCCGAGGGGUGAGCGGGGUGGGGGUGCUGGGACCUCCGCUCUGGCCGCCAUGAGGGUUUCCAGCUGGCGGAGGCUGAGCUGUGUGACCCGGCUCUGGGUGCCAGGGGCUCUCUGGACCAUGCACCCGCAGGUCCGGCUCCUCACCAGCGUUCCCCAUCGAUGAAAACCCCGCGUUUGGCAGCAGCGCGACCCGUGCCCGUGGGGCUGUGAGCCCACAACUGCACGUGAGGCGCAGGGACAGCUUGGAGCGGCGUGGGCAGUGGUUUGGACGUUUUGCCGCAGGUGGGGGCUCGCUGGGCCAGUAGUUGUCAGAAGAAAAGGAAUCAGCUGUUGGUGCCUCUUUGAAAGAACUUGAGAAGAUGGGAACUUCCACAGUAUAAAUGGCAAUACUUUUCAGGACCUGGAUGUGGCAGCUUGAAACAAAGGUGGUUGGGGGCAAGGUGUAACAGGAAUUACACACAUAAUUUGUUAAUUGGUAAUCCCCUCUCACUGCUUAAAAUAUUUUUCUUC
Molecule: long non-coding RNA, 516 nt
Filed under: Columba livia (rock pigeon)
Lineage: Eukaryota; Metazoa; Chordata; Aves; Columbiformes; Columbidae
Description: partial uncharacterized LOC102095078, transcript variant X1
Source: RNAcentral